This 550-nucleotide long non-coding RNA is filed under the name Nicotiana benthamiana. Its description in RNAcentral is "long non-coding RNA (NBEN_LNC002371)". Lineage: Eukaryota; Viridiplantae; Streptophyta; Magnoliopsida; Solanales; Solanaceae. The record is from RNAcentral.
GAAUCACCCAGACUUAUUCUUUUUACUUUCUCAUGUACAUAACCAAAUGAUCGUUUUCCUCUGUUCUAGAGAUAAGGUAUCUGAUGCAGUUCAUUAAAAAUAAAGGAAUUGGAAAAAAAAGUGAAGCUCGGAUUCUUUCUCCCAUGUAGAGUUCAGAAGUACUGAAUCAAUUUUAGUAGUGAAGGGGAAGUGCAUAAUAUGAAACAAUUUUACCAGAAUAUACUACAUUUCCUAAGUUUUUUAGUUGAGAACUGUUACCUAGAAGCUUUGUAAUCACAGCCAAAUUAGAACUUCAGCUCUAGCGCUAAUGUUCAUCAGUUACAAAAAUAAAAAUUUCAACUCCAGAGCUGAACUGAAAUUUUGCGUGAUUACCUUUGCUACUUCAGCCCCGUAUGCUGAAGUUAUGCAAAAAAGUGGUACGCUUGCAAUUUUUUUUGUAAAGCGAAUACAAGUUAAAACGUGACACAAAAAACGGGUAUAGGUGCAAAUGCCCCAAUUACUUAGGUUAGGGGAAUUGGUCCGUUCACUUUAAUUUAUCCGGUUAACCGGA